Molecule: ribosomal RNA, 520 nt
Filed under: fungal sp. E15720D
Lineage: Eukaryota; Fungi
Description: eukaryotic LSU rRNA
Rfam family: 5.8S ribosomal RNA (bases 180-333)
Source: RNAcentral
GAAUUUGUGGGCGCGCUUCGGCGCACCCAGAAACCCUUUGUGAACUUAUACCUAUUUGUUGCCUCGGCGUAGGCCGGCCUCUUCACUGAGGCCCCCUGGAAACAGGGAGCAGCCCGCCGGCGGCCAACUAAACUCUUGUUUCUAUAGUGAAUCUCUGAGUGAAAACAUAAAUGAAUCAAAACUUUCAACAACGGAUCUCUUGGUUCUGGCAUCGAUGAAGAACGCAGCGAAAUGCGAUAAGUAAUGUGAAUUGCAGAAUUCAGUGAAUCAUCGAAUCUUUGAACGCACAUUGCGCCCUCUGGUAUUCCGGAGGGCAUGCCUGUUCGAGCGUCAUUUCAACCCUCAAGCCUGGCUUGGUGAUGGGGCACUGCCUUCUAACGAGGGCAGGCCCUGAAAUCUAGUGGCGAGCUCGCUAGGACCCCGAGCGUAGUAGUUAUAUCUCGUUCUGGAAGGCCCUGGCGGUGCCCUGCCGUUAAACCCCCAACUUCUGAAAAUUUGACCUCGGAUCAGGUAGGAAUAC